AUUGAACGCUGGCGGCAGGCCUAACACAUGCAAGUCGAACGGUAGCACAGAGAGCUUGCUCUCGGGUGACGAGUGGCGGACGGGUGAGUAAUGUCUGGGAAACUGCCCGAUGGAGGGGGAUAACUACUGGAAACGGUAGCUAAUACCGCAUAACGUCGCAAGACCAAAGUGGGGGACCUUCGGGCCUCACACCAUCGGAUGUGCCCAGAUGGGAUUAGCUAGUAGGUGGGGUAAUGGCUCACCUAGGCGACGAUCCCUAGCUGGUCUGAGAGGAUGAACAGCCACACUGGAACUGAGACACGGUCCAGACUCCUAAGGGAGGCAGCAGUGGGGAAUAUUGGACAAUGGGCGCAAGCCUGAUGCAGCCAUGCCGCGGGUAUGAAGAAGGCCUUCGGGUUGUAAAGUACUUUCAGCGGGGAGGAAGGCGGUGAAGUUAAUAGCUUCACCGAUUGACGUUACCCGCACAAGAAGCACCGGCUAACUCCGUGCCAGCCGCCGCCGUAA
RNAcentral lists this ribosomal RNA (504 nucleotides) under uncultured bacterium. RNAcentral describes it as "partial 16S ribosomal RNA". It matches the Rfam family "Bacterial small subunit ribosomal RNA", at positions 30 to 523 of the family's 1533-position model. The record is from RNAcentral.